RNAcentral lists this microRNA precursor (196 nucleotides) under Oryza brachyantha (malo sina). RNAcentral's name for it is "MIR812 microRNA precursor family". It matches the Rfam family "MIR812 microRNA precursor family". The record is from Rfam by way of RNAcentral. Lineage: Eukaryota; Viridiplantae; Streptophyta; Magnoliopsida; Poales; Poaceae.
AAUAAAUGCAUUUUUGAAGAGUUUACGUUUAACAUUUUAUUGUCCAUCUUAUUUAAAAAAUCAUGAUUAAUAUUUUUAUUGUUAUCAGAUGAUAAAACAUGUAUAGUACUUUAUGUGUGACUAUUUUUUUAUUUUCUUAAAAAAGAUUAUGAAAUAAGACGGGCGGUCAAACGUUGGACACGGAAAUAUAGUUAUA